Molecule: ribosomal RNA, 171 nt
Filed under: uncultured rumen bacterium
Lineage: Bacteria
Description: partial 16S ribosomal RNA
Rfam family: Bacterial small subunit ribosomal RNA
Source: RNAcentral
CUACGGGAGGCAGCAGUGGGGAAUAUUGGGCAAUGGGCGAAAGCCUGACCCAGCAACGCCGCGUGAAGGAAGAAGGUCUUCGGAUUGUAAACUUCUUUUAUGAGGGACGAAGGACGUGACGGUACCUCAUGAAUAAGCCACGGCUAACUACGUGCCAGCAGCCGCGGUAAU